UUUGGAGUGCCAAUGUCUCUACUAUUUGCUUGCAGACAUACUAUGGCCAUAUGCAAAUUUCAGUCUCAGCACUUUCCACUCGUAGUUUAUUUUUUGGUAAAAAACUCUUGAACAUUUCUUCAUCAUAUUUUUUAAAUUCUUUCACCAAACUGUGGAUGCACACACAACAGCCAAAUUUUGUUUAUGGAUGUUACGAAGCUGGAUUCAACGUUGGAGAUUUAAAUUUCAUUCAGGCUCGUUUUGGUAUUGUUUCCGUGAACAGACCAGGAUGCAAUUAUACUAUUCCUCAAGCCAUUGGUGUAGGAAUAAAAAUACCUGGGAGGAAGAAUAUCAGUGUCAAUGGUGUGGUUAGCAAUGUAAUGUCACUUAAUUUUUCCUCUUACCUAGACUUUAGCUUUUAUGUUCGUUCGCGUACUCCAGUAAUUUAACUUUUAAUUCUUUUACUUUUUAUUCUGCUAAUAUGCAAUCAAUUUUAUAAUAUUCUAAGAUUGCUAAACUGGUCAUUUAUAUAUGUUAAAUUUCUUCGAUCAUUAAAUUUACAAGCACAACACAACCCGUUGAUUGCAAAAAAAAGUUUUGAAACAUCUUUUACAACGGAGGGCACUAAAGUAAAAAAAGCACUGAAAUUAAGUGUAUCACUUUUAUAUCAAUGGUUAAUGAAUACUGUUUGAUUUAAUUUGAAAAUAUAGUAGAUUGUUCGAACUACAAUUAAAAGUAAACGGUUAUCUUACAAUAAACGCAGACAUCACCAA
Molecule: long non-coding RNA, 752 nt
Organism: Xenia sp. Carnegie-2017
Lineage: Eukaryota; Metazoa; Cnidaria; Anthozoa; Malacalcyonacea; Xeniidae
Exons: 2
Source: RefSeq, a predicted model, not a curated record